GAUGAACGCUGGCGGCGCGCCUAACACAUGCAAGUCGAACGAUUACACAAUCUUCGGUUGCGUAUAAGGUGGCGGACGGCUGGGUAACACAUGGACAAACUGCCCCCUUCUUUUGGAUAGCCAAGGAAAAACGUGGAUAAUAGCGAAUACUUCAAACCACCUGCAUGGAAGACCCGAGAAAGUUCCGACGGUGCGCGAUGGACUGAGGGCGUGUCGGCUUGUGGGUGGGGUGAAGGCCUAGCACGGCAAUGAUCGGUAGCUGGGCUGAGAGGAUGAUAAGCCACACUGGAACUGAGCCACGGUACAGACUCCUACGGGAGGCAGCAGUGGGGAAUAUUGGACAAUGGGGGAAAGCCUGAUCCAGCCAUACCGCGUGGGUGAAGAAGGCCUUCGGGUUGUAAAGCCCUUUUGUUGGGAAAGAAAAGCAGCAGGUUAAUACGCCGCUGUUCUGACGGUACCCAAAGAAUAAGCACCGGCUAACUUCGUG
This 487-nucleotide ribosomal RNA is filed under the name uncultured bacterium. Its description in RNAcentral is "partial 16S ribosomal RNA". It matches the Rfam family "Bacterial small subunit ribosomal RNA", at positions 28 to 507 of the family's 1533-position model. The record is from RNAcentral.